RNAcentral lists this ribosomal RNA (253 nucleotides) under uncultured bacterium. RNAcentral describes it as "partial 16S ribosomal RNA". It matches the Rfam family "Bacterial small subunit ribosomal RNA", at positions 524 to 776 of the family's 1533-position model. The record is from RNAcentral.
UACGUAGGGUGCAAGCGUUGUCCGGAAUUAUUGGGCGUAAAGAGCUCGUAGGCGGUUUGUCGCGUCUGCUGUGAAAACUCGGGGCUUAACUCCGGGCCUGCAGUGGGUACGGGCAGACUAGAGUGCGGUAGGGGAGACUGGAAUUCCUGGUGUAGCGGUGAAAUGCGCAGAUAUCAGGAGGAACACCGGUGGCGAAGGCGGGUCUCUGGGCCGUAACUGACGCUGAGGAACGAAAGCGUGGGUAGCAAACAGG